Molecule: ribosomal RNA, 779 nt
Filed under: Pertusaria werneriana
Lineage: Eukaryota; Fungi; Ascomycota; Lecanoromycetes; Pertusariales; Pertusariaceae
Description: eukaryotic LSU rRNA
Rfam family: Eukaryotic large subunit ribosomal RNA
Source: RNAcentral
AGUUGUAAUUUGUAGAGGGCACUUCGGGCGCGCGACCGGCCUAAGUUCCUUGGAACAGGGCGUCAUAGAGGGUGAGAAUCCCGUACGUGGCCGGCCGUCACCCUGUGUGAAGUCCCUUCGACGAGUCGAGUUGUUUGGGAAUGCAGCUCAAAAUGGGUGGUAAAUUCCAUCUAAAGCUAAAUACCGGCCAGAGACCGAUAGCGCACAAGUAGAGUGAUCGAAAGAUGAAAAGCACUUUGAAAAGAGAGUCAAACAGUAUGUGAAAUUGUUGAAAGGGAAGCGCUGGCAACCAGACGUGCCCGCGGGCGAUCACCCGGCCUUCGGGCCGGCGCACUCGACCGCGAUCAGGCCAGCAUCGGUUUCGGCGGUCGGACAAAGGCGCGCGGGAAUGUAGCUUCUCUCGGGGAGUGUUAUAGCCCGCGCCGCAAUGCGGCCAGCCGGGACCGAGGACCGCGCUUAUGCUAGGAUGCUGGCGUAAUGGUUGUCAGCGACCCGUCUUGAAACACGGACCAAGGAGUCUAACAUCUAUGCGAGUGUUUGGGCGUCAAACCCAUGCGCGGAAUGAAAGUGAACGGAGGUGGGAGCUUCGGCGCACCAUCGACCGAUCCUGAUGUUUUCGGAUGGAUUUGAGUAGGAGCAUAGCUGUUGGGACCCGAAAGAUGGUGAACUAUACGUGAAUAGGGUGAAGCCAGAGGAAACUCUGGUGGAGGCUCGCAGCGGUUCUGACGUGCAAAUCGAUCGUCAAAUUUGCGUAUAGGGGCGAAAGACUAAUCGAACCA